RNAcentral lists this ribosomal RNA (532 nucleotides) under uncultured fungus. RNAcentral describes it as "SSU rRNA". It matches the Rfam family "Eukaryotic small subunit ribosomal RNA", at positions 109 to 644 of the family's 1831-position model. Lineage: Eukaryota; Fungi. The record is from RNAcentral.
GUUAUCGUUUAUUUGAUAGUACCUUACUACAUGGAUAACCGUGGUAAUUCUAGAGCUAAUACAUGCUAAAAACCCCGACUUCGGAAGGGGUGUAUUUAUUAGAUAAAAAAUCAAUGCCCUUCGGGGCUCCUUGGUGAUUCAUGAUAACUUAACGAAUCGCAUGGCCUUGUGCCGGCGAUGGUUCAUUCAAAUUUCUGCCCUAUCAACUUUCGAUGGUAGGAUAGUGGCCUACCAUGGUUUCAACGGGUAACGGGGAAUUAGGGUUCUAUUCCGGAGAGGGAGCCUGAGAAACGGCUACCACAUCCAAGGAAGGCAGCAGGCGCGCAAAUUACCCAAUCCCGACACGGGGAGGUAGUGACAAUAAAUACUGAUACAGGGCUCUUUUGGGUCUUGUAAUUGGAAUGAGUACAAUUUAAAUCCCUUAACGAGGAACAAUUGGAGGGCAAGUCUGGUGCCAGCAGCCGCGGUAAUUCCAGCUCCAAUAGCGUAUAUUAAAGUUGUUGCAGUUAAAAAGCUCGUAGUUGAACCUUGG